UUAAGCAUAUCAAUAAGCGGAGGAAGAGAAACCAACCAGGAUUCCCUCAGUAACGGCGAGCGAAGUGGGAAGAGCUCAGGCUGCCAAUCUCCGGCCGAGAGGUCGGCGAAUUGUGGUCUGGAGACGCCUACUGUCCCUGCUCGCUUCCCUGGCCCGAAGUUGACCUGGAACGGCGCGUCGGAGAGGGUGACAAUCCCGUAGGGCUGUGUCGGGAAGCGAGUGGACGUGAGUGGGUUGUCGGCGAGUCGGGUUGUUUGGGAAUGCAGCCCAAAGCGGGUGGUAAACUCCAUCCAAAGCUAAAUAGCGGCACGAGACCGAUAGCGAACAAGUACC
This 333-nucleotide ribosomal RNA is filed under the name Chalinula hooperi. Its description in RNAcentral is "eukaryotic LSU rRNA". It matches the Rfam family "Eukaryotic large subunit ribosomal RNA", at positions 34 to 352 of the family's 3401-position model. The record is from RNAcentral. Lineage: Eukaryota; Metazoa; Porifera; Demospongiae; Haplosclerida; Chalinidae.